GGGUCUGUAGGUUGGUCGUGCCACCGGUACGUACUGGUCCCACUGAUUCCUCCUUCCUGAAGAACCUUAAUGCCAUUAAUUUGGUGUUGCGGGGACACAGGACUGUUACUUUGAAAAAAUUAGAGUGUUUAAAGCAAGCUAACGCUUGAAUACAUUAGCAUGGAAUAAUGAAAUAGGACGAUCGAUCCUAUUUUGUUGGUUUCUAGGAUUGACGUA
RNAcentral lists this ribosomal RNA (216 nucleotides) under Glomeromycotina sp. RNAcentral's name for it is "partial small subunit ribosomal RNA". The stretch from base 44 to 216 matches the Rfam family "Eukaryotic small subunit ribosomal RNA", at positions 690 to 864 of the family's 1831-position model. Lineage: Eukaryota; Fungi; Glomeromycota. The record is from RNAcentral.